Molecule: long non-coding RNA, 6289 nt
Organism: Phragmites australis (common reed)
Lineage: Eukaryota; Viridiplantae; Streptophyta; Magnoliopsida; Poales; Poaceae
Exons: 8
Source: RefSeq, a predicted model, not a curated record
GCUUCCCCGGUGAGAUUGGGGGGCCCACCUGUCAGUGAAAUUCUACGAAGAACUCGUCGUCGUCCUCCUCCCACUCUUCCGUCCCGUCUCGUAUUUAAACCGCUUCAUCCAGCCCACCUCCAUUUCUCCUCCCCCACGCCUAAAACCCUAGUUCGUCCUCGCCCUGCCUUCAUCGCCCACAGCUGUUAAUGUAUGCCAGCCAAACACGGCUGCCUAACUUUCCUUCUGGAACAACUCUGCUCUGCUGAAUCUGCACUGGUUUUAACUGAUAUUACCUGCAACAGUCCGACAAUUAUGGCUUCAACCUUUGGCCUGGCCAUUAUGCGGUCUUGCUGAGUCAGUGCUGCUAAGGAAUUGCAUCUCAACAAGGAUGCCUUGGCUAUCAAGAAGCUGCAAACUGGUGUCGACAAGCUUGCAGGCGCCCUGUUGGAGUCACUCUUGAACCAAAAAGGCAAGCAGCUGCUAAGACCAACGUUUUGUCUGGGGAUGGGACGGCCACAUCUUUCGUCCUUGCUCAAGGGGUGAUUUCUCAGGGUUUCAAGGUGGUUCAGUGCUUGCUGCUGGAGCCAAUCCAGUACAGACAACUUAAUGGUAUUGAAAAAAUAGUGUAAUAUCUAGUCAGUGAACUGAAAAAUGACAAAGGAGGCAUAUUCUGGCCGAGAUCUUGUAUUCUUGUUGUGUCCAGUAUAUACAUUCUGCUAAUUUAAGGAAUGUUUGGCAUGCCUAUCAUUUGGCUCCUGUUUUCGGAGGGUGCAAGAAUCAAUAUCUGGAUGAUAUCACCAUUCUAACUGGAUAUAAUCUUCAAGUUAUAUAUAAUGCGAAGAGUGCACUGGUGAUAAUUUGCUAACCAUUAAGUUCAUUACUUGUACAGCCACUGUCAUCAAGAAGAAGUCAGGUUAUCUCUGGAAAAAGAGAACAAACAGCUCGCAAGUCGCAAUGGUUGUACUUACGAAAGAUACAACAACAAUAGUUGGUUAUGGUAGCACACAGGAAGAAGUGAAUAGAAGGGAUGCACAAAUCACAAGCAUGUUGUGGUCUAAUAAUAGGUUAGAGCAGAUGGAAACUGAGCUCAAAGAAAAUAAACUGAGGGUUGAAGAUCCUCUGAAUGCAACAAAGGCGGCUGUUGAGGAAGGGAUUGUUAUUUGUGGUGGCUGUACUCUUUUGAGGCUGGCAUCUAAAGCUGAUCCCAUCAUAGAAUCUCUUGAUAAUGAUGAGCAGAAAGUAGGAGAACGGAUUCAUCAUGUUUAUGCUCGUCAAAGCUAUUUUACCAGUUCAUAUUUAUCUUUAGGUGGAAAUUAUGUUUGUAGCCAUCAAUGGUGACAUAUUGCAAAAAUUUUGUUGGUCAACUAAGAACUAACAAAUCAUAUUGUCCCCUUGUAGGUUGGGACUGAAAUUGUAAGGAAAGCCCUGAACUGUCCGCUUAAAUCGAUUGCCAAAAAAAUGCUAUUAAUUUGUCGUUCAGAAGGGUUCUUGCCAGUGACAACUUGAGGUAUGGAUAUAAUGCUGGAAAGUACGAGGACUUGAUUGCUUAUGGAAUUAUUGACCCCCACUAAGGUUUCCUCACUUCUGACGUUCUGGUAGUUCACGCCGAGGAGCCUGAACGCGCGCCAGCAACCCAAUGGCCAACUCUGGUCAUGGAUUAUUACUGAGCAGAAGUGUUCUGGUUUUCUUUUCAACUAUGGGCAAUGAGGGACGAGGGCAAAUUCUACUCCCACUCAGGUAGGCAUGUCGCUUCUGGUGGCAAUACGUAUGUUUCAUGAAUGUACACACGCUUAAACUUAUUUUCAGUAGUAUAUAAUGCACGUUUAUUCUUAGUCAAAUAUGCUUCACAUUGUUCAUCUAGUGGCCAAGAACUUAGCCAAAAUUGCGUAGUACGGAAACAAGAUUGAGCAAAGGUCUCGUUGGAUUCUUGCAGUUCAUUUGAUUAUUUAGGACCCAGAAAUUUAGUAGUAGUAUGGCAUUGGAUGCCCCUGUCUCUGCGUGACAGGUGGUUCCUGCAGGGGCUGCAAAUUUUGCCAGUGCCAGCAGUUUGGCGGUACGUGGUAUGUACCGUAGCAGCAUGGCAAAUCCAGUAGGGGCCCCCUGUCUGGCCUCUCAGCCUUGACCUUUUACUAGAGCCCGGGGCAAAUUCCAAACCCUUCACAGAGCUCUCUCGAGCAGUUGAGCUUAGUCAUAGACACAAAGAAAAUCCCGUUUGCUCCAAGCCCUUGAGAUAGUGAGAUGACAGCAUACGGUGGCCGUUUGUGUUCUCCAUCUGUGCUAAAUCGUACUACCUACCUCAUUACUAGAAGUGUACAAGUAUAGCCCAUGAGUGUGAGUGACUCUGUCUAGACUAGUUUAACCUGUAUAAUGCAUUGUUAAGUGCAACGCCUAGUGGCUACGACGACCACUAACUAGUUGGGCCCUUACGGCACAGUUGAGAAACUUGAAAGCAUCCGCGCAUCUUAUCAUAGGAGGGGGAGGGGAGAGCCCAACGGCCAGCCAUUAAUAUUCCCUCCCUCCUCGAUGCCCUGCAUGGAAAGCUGUGUACUCUCUCUCUCUGCCUCACUGGCAGUGCUCUGGCGCCUACCUGCACCGGACACCAGGCCCCGUGUGCGUUGUGGUGUCCGUGUGUGAGUUACACCGGUGGUGCAGCUGAUCCUCUCGACCCGGCCCUCUGUUUCCAGAGCCAGCCUCUCGUAAAAUAUUUGCAUGUCUGACUGGUAGUACCAUGCUGGAGGACGCUGCUCAUAUGAUAAUGCUGCGGCCCUUCGCUUAAGAAGAUGCCCGUAUUAGGCAACCUACGCGACCGGGACUAAAGAAACAAAAGUUAAGGAGCCAAAGCAAGAGGGAGGAAAAGUGUAAAGGUUGGGGGAUAUCUCUUGUGGAUUAGCAAAUGUAUUCAUAUUCUUUUGGUCUUUUCUCUUUACCUUUCCCCUUUGAUCCUUUGCCCGCUUUUCGUUUUUCAGCAACAUUUUCCCUUGCUUAAUUAGUAAAUAGAGAAAUUUAAUUUCUAUAGCACGAAGAUAGGGGCUGGAAUGAAUGAAUGUGACAGCCAUUCAAAGUUGAUAGACGUCCUUUCAUGUCAGUAGUACAGUCAAUCAUCUCCCGGCCGGUUCCUCCUUUUUCCUGUUAAGGAGGACUCGUAGUGCGUCCAUCCAUUCGUCUACCUGCAGUGCAGAUGAUCCCCGAACCAAUGUGGGAGUGCAAUCUUUAUGACAUUACCUUUCUUAACAGCAAAUGCCGUCACAAAAAGCAAUGCCAUUUUCACAUUUAGCGCCUCCCUUCCCUCCCAAUACUUGACACUUGGGAAAUCGAAAUCUUAAAAUGUUAUCUCCGUAAGUAGAAAUAUUUCUUUUGAGCUUGGUCUUUAAUUUAGAUUUUAAUUAAGAUUUUCUCAUAAAAUAUAUUAUUUAUAACUACAAAACAUGCAAUGUGAAAUUAUUUUAAAUUACGAACCUAGUUAUAUAAUUUUUAUACAUUAGAUAUUCUUAUAAUUUGAUUAAAUAUUAGUUAAAGUAUACAAAUUUUGAUUUUUCUAAAAACAAAUACGUCUAUUAUUUAUGAAUGAAGGGAGUAUAACAUACUCAAUCAUGGGUACCUUGGAAGGAUAGGAAGCCCGAAGCCAUACAACUACUACGAGCCUGUUUAGUUCACGUCUAAGUUUGUCACAUUCAAGAUUAAUUAAGUUAUAGAUUUUUAGAUGACUGUUUGGUUAAUUGUCAUAAUUGUGGCAAGUUAUACUUUCCUAGUCCCUAGCCCACACGACAUACAUUUAGUUUUUUUACUUGGCCAUACUUGUGGUUAAAAAUUUAUUAGUCACACUUCUUGUGGCAGCCACAUUUGUCUAACUUCAAGCCUGUUUGGUUCAUUAACAUAGAUUAUCAUAUUUUUGGUAAAGUUUGGCAAUAAAAAUAGUCUAUGACAGAUGAGCUCAAAGGUUGAAAAACUAUAACACACCAAAAUUGUGGCAGCAAAUCAAAUAGUUGCUAGAAAAAGUCUGGUAAAGUGUGACAGCAAACCAAACAGAUUCUUAGACGUGACAAACUUAGACGCGAACCAAACAUGACUGGAAUGUUGCAAUGCUCCAACUUUAGCACUAAACAGCUCCAAUUCACAGCUAUUGCACCUGACACAUCAUUGCUAGUGCACUCUACAAAGUGCUUGGCCGUAUAUCUCAGUACAAAUCAAAGUAUAGUAACAAUCUGGCUAUUGUAAGGAUAUACAAGAUGCUAAGAAAAAUCCCUCGGCCAUCUUUUGUGCAGAGACACCCUGGGCAUUGUACGUUUGAACUGCUUGCGCCGAUACAACGUCUCUUGCCAGCUGUGGCCGUUGGAAAGGGACAAAUAAGACCGGACCAUUCAUUCCCUCUUUGUAGUCGUAUCUCCUUCCAGUAUUGUCCGCUCUACUGGUGUCUCUACGGAAUUACACGUAUCCUCGGGGCGUAGUCCAACUCAUGCAUCGGUGCAAAAAACCAACCGCUGAGAUCCGGUGCAUCAGCGAGGAGAUAUUGGUGAUUUUAGAAUGUUUCACAGGUAGCUCGAUUGGUAGGAGGCAUGCGUACACCCUCAUUAUAUAGGUUCGAGAGUUCUUGGAUUUGAAUUUGGGUGUCUGUUUUCUUCUUAGUACAUCAAUCUCUAGUUCGGUACUAGGUAGUUCGCGUGUUUUCUUCUCCACACAAAUUGCUGGUUCGGUUGGUUCCUGCGGGACACUGAUACAUGCCGCAUGAGCUAGCAGUCAUCAUUGCAACCAACAUGUAAAAUGCAAUGCUCGUCCAACCGAAAAUGUCGAGCUUGGAAGUGACCCUGAACUGCACACGCACAAGAGAAGUCCUGCAGAGAAAGUUCUGCGAUAUUCUCUUCUCUAGCGAGCAAACCUAAGCACAGGAAGAAGACUCCCACAUGGACAUUACCUGCUCGCUAGCUGCCAGGUAGUAGUAACCUGUCUGAACCAAUUAGCUACAAGGAAAUUUUUUUUAAUAUGGCUACUGGGUACGAGUGUUCACUCAUGCAUGCAGAGGACAGCUGCAGCGAGGAUUGUUGCGAUGCAGGAAGGUGAGUUGUUUUUACAUUUGGUUUCUUUAAACAAAACAAACAAUCAAUAUGGUGCUUUGGGGUCCUGGGGAACAGCAAAAACAGCUGUAUUUGUUGCAUAUGAUUAGCAAUGCAAAAGUGAGAGAGAGAGAGAGAGAGAGAGAGGCCUUCUGUGCAAAUAAUGAUAGUUCCGGGCGCCAAAGGUGAGACGAGAGAGGUUUUCCAAUCCAGCUUCCAAGUCAAAAGGGUCGCCCGGGAAAGAAAGCGAGCUAGGGCUGGCUGGCAGGGCUGCAGCGGCAUGCCCGCAUCAUUGCGCAAUCGAACCCCCUCCUCUUUUCUGCUCUUGUUGGAAUCCAAGACGGUUUCUCUGUAAAGGGGAGAGGAGAGGAGCACACCAAAGUUCUUGGACCCCCUCAGCAACAAUAAGCAUGCAGAAACAGAGCUUAUAAUUCUCCUAACAGUCACUGAUUGGUUGUUUUUGCUAUGAACAUCAUUUUACAGUUGUCUGUUUCCAUUGAGCAGUUGACUUUGUGAGUUGCUUGCACCAUUCUAUUGAUUCGCAUAUGUACAGCAGUAUUGCACUUGUAUAUAGCACCGGUGUGCUGCCUGUUGGUUGAGCUACUAGUGUAUACAAGUAUGCCGGUUUGCUUAAGCUACCAACUUUGUUUAAACUACUACUGGUUUAUUUGCCUAUUGGUUGAGCUGGCUUGGGGUCCUUCAGGAAUCAUGAGGUAAGAGUGGCUUACUGCGGGACAAAAAGAGGUAGUAAGUGGAAUUAACACAAAUGUAAGUGAGACAUGCUUUUCCCCAGCUAAGUUGAUCCUCUUGCACUGUGUGAAAAAUGAAAACUGAGCUGACGAGUUGUAUUUUGGGGUAGGGUGGUCCUUUGUCUCUACAGUGUACAGGGAUAGUGGCUUCUUGCUUCAACCGGGCAGCAAAAUAAAACUCCAAGAGCUUAGCUUGAGCUACCAUGUGAGCAGGCUUCUUGCAGCUGCCUGUACACACAUGGUAGGACCUGAACUGGGGCAAGGUUAAAUUCAGACUCGAUUCACUUUAUGGUUCACUGUUGCCAGUUCCGUAGAGUUGUUCACAUGGAAAUCCAUAUGGCACCGUGGUACAUGAGUGCUUGUUAACAUCUUGUAAUUUUGGAUCAAUGUCACACGAAUCGUAACCUGAUCUCCACUAGUGUUGUAACGUGCAUAUUAUAACGGUUGCAUGUUGUUCACGCUAACGGCUCUUGGGUGACCAUGGCCUGUGUCACAUCUUGAUGAUCGCAC